Molecule: ribosomal RNA, 465 nt
Filed under: uncultured Klebsiella sp.
Lineage: Bacteria; Pseudomonadati; Pseudomonadota; Gammaproteobacteria; Enterobacterales; Enterobacteriaceae
Description: bacterial SSU rRNA
Rfam family: Bacterial small subunit ribosomal RNA
Source: RNAcentral
CCUACGGGAGGCUGCAGUGGGGAAUAUUGCACAAUGGGCGCAAGCCUGAUGCAGCCAUGCCGCGUGUGUGAAGAAGGCCUUCGGGUUGUAAAGCACUUUCAGCGGGGAGGAAGGCGGUGAGGUUAAUAACCUCACCGAUUGACGUUACCCGCAGAAGAAGCACCGGCUAACUCCGUGCCAGCAGCCGCGGUAAUACGGAGGGUGCAAGCGUUAAUCGGAAUUACUGGGCGUAAAGCGCACGCAGGCGGUCUGUCAAGUCGGAUGUGAAAGCCCCGGGCUCAACCUGGGAACUGCAUUCGAAACUGGCAGGCUAGAGUCUUGUAGAGGGGGGUAGAAUUCCAGGUGUAGCGGUGAAAUGCGUAGAGAUCUGGAGGAAUACCGGUGGCGAAGGCGGCCCCCUGGACAAAGACUGACGCUCAGGUGCGAAAGCGUGGGGAGCAAACAGGAUUAGAUACCCUUGUAGUC